UGGCUCUGUUGGUAGAGCAUGGUGUUUGCAACACCAGGGUUGUGGGUUCAAUUCCCAC
Molecule: transfer RNA, 58 nt
Filed under: Salmo salar (Atlantic salmon)
Lineage: Eukaryota; Metazoa; Chordata; Actinopteri; Salmoniformes; Salmonidae
Rfam family: tRNA
About the family: Transfer RNA (tRNA) molecules are approximately 80 nucleotides in length. Their secondary structure includes four short double-helical elements and three loops (D, anti-codon, and T loops). Further hydrogen bonds mediate the characteristic L-shaped molecular structure. tRNAs have two regions of fundamental functional importance: the anti-codon, which is responsible for specific mRNA codon recognition, and the 3' end, to which the tRNAs corresponding amino acid is attached (by aminoacyl-tRNA synthetases). tRNAs cope with the degeneracy of the genetic code in two manners: having more than one tRNA (with a specific anti-codon) for a particular amino acid; and 'wobble' base-pairing, i.e. permitting non-standard base-pairing at the 3rd anti-codon position.
Source: Rfam by way of RNAcentral